Non-coding RNA from Rhamnusium bicolor, 77 nucleotides. The record is from the annotation of a GenBank genome assembly. Lineage: Eukaryota; Metazoa; Arthropoda; Insecta; Coleoptera; Cerambycidae.
GGGUAGUUGAGUAGGUAAAGCGCUUAAAGCUAUUCACUUGGUACCGAAGGUCGAUGGUUUGAUUCCAUCCAGGAGCA